UGCCUCAGUAACGGCGAGUGAAGCGGCAACAGCUCAAAUUUGAAAUCUGGCCUCGCGGUCCGAGUUGUAAUUUGCAGAGGAUGUCUCGGGCGCGAUACCGGUCUAAGUUCCUUGGAACAGGACGUCACAGAGGGUGAGAAUCCCGUACGUGACCGGUGGUCAACCCCGUGUGAGGCUCCUUCNACGAGUCNAGUUGUUUGGGAAUGCAGCUCUAAAUGGGUGGNAAAUUUCAUCUAAAGCUAAAUAUUGGCCAGAGACCGAUAGCGCACAAGUAGAGUGAUCGAAAGAUGAAAAGCACUUUGGAAAGAGAGUUAAAAAGUACGUGAAAUUGUUGAAAGGGAAGCGCUUGCAACCAGACUUGUCCGCGGGUGAUCAACCGUCCUUCGGGGCGGUGCACUCGCCCGCGAUCAGGCCAGUAUCGGUUUCAGCAGCCGGACAAAGACCUGGGGAACGUGGCUCCUCUCGGGGAGUGUUAUAGCCCGGGGUGUAAUACGGUUAGUUGGGACCGAGGACCGCGCUUCGGCUAGGAUACUGGCGUAAUGGUUGUCAGCGACCCGUCUUGAAACACGGACCAAGGAGUCUACCAUUUAUGCGAGUGUUUGGGUGUCAAACCCAUGCGCGCAAUGAAAGUGAACGGAGGUGGGAACCCUUCGGGGGGCACCAUCGACCGAUCCUGAUGUCUUCGGAUGGAUUUGAGUACGAGCAUAACUGGUGGGACCCGAAAGAUGGUGAACUAUGCGUGAAUAGGGUGAAGCCAGAGGAAACUCUGGUGGAGGCUCGCAGCGGUUCUGACGUGCAAAUCGAUCGUCAAAUUUGCGUAUAGGGGCGAAAGACUAAUCGAACCAUCUAAGCGUUCCACUACUAGAUGGGAUACGGGGGCCGAGAAGCCCCCGAGUAGUCCCCGUCGCGGANGGCCACAUCGCUGGUCUUAACGGGAAUGCCCCUUACGAUUGAGGGCCACCCGGCGUGGGUUUCGACCAUUCACAGACUAAGUGACGAUGCUGGGGUGCCCCGNUGGAUAUACGGAUUC
Molecule: ribosomal RNA, 1030 nt
Filed under: Xylographa soralifera
Lineage: Eukaryota; Fungi; Ascomycota; Lecanoromycetes; Baeomycetales; Xylographaceae
Description: eukaryotic LSU rRNA
Rfam family: Eukaryotic large subunit ribosomal RNA
Source: RNAcentral